This is a ribosomal RNA of Otolemur garnettii (small-eared galago), 119 nucleotides long. The record is from Ensembl. Lineage: Eukaryota; Metazoa; Chordata; Mammalia; Primates; Galagidae.
GUUGAUAGCCAUGCCAGCCUGAAUACGCCCAAUCUCAACUGAUCUAAGAACCUAAGCAGGGUCAGACCUCGGUAAUACUUGGAUGGGAGACCAGCCGGGAUUACUGAGUGCUAUAUGCU